Molecule: ribosomal RNA, 1346 nt
Filed under: uncultured bacterium
Lineage: Bacteria
Description: bacterial SSU rRNA
Rfam family: Bacterial small subunit ribosomal RNA
Source: RNAcentral
GACGAACUUUGGCGGCGUGCUCAACACAUGCAAGUCGAACGGAAAGGCCCUGCUUUUGUGGGGUGCUCGAGUGGCGAACGGGUGAGUAACACGUGAGUAACCUGCCCUUGACUUUGGGAUAACUUCAGGAAACUGGGGCUAAUACCGGAUAGGAGCUCCUGCUGCAUGGUGGGGGUUGGAAAGUUUCGGCGGUUGGGGAUGGACUCGCGGCUUAUCAGCUUGUUGGUGGGGUAGUGGCUUACCAAGGCUUUGACGGGUAGCCGGCCUGAGAGGGUGACCGGCCACAUUGGGACUGAGAUACGGCCCAGACUCCUACGGGAGGCAGCAGUGGGGAAUAUUGCACAAUGGGCGGAAGCCUGAUGCAGCAACGCCGCGUGCGGGAUGACGGCCUUCGGGUUGUAAACCGCUUUCGCCUGUGACGAAGCGUGAGUGACGGUAAUGGGUAAAGAAGCACCGGCUAACUACGUGCCAGCAGCCGCGGUGAUACGUAGGGUGCGAGCGUUGUCCGGAUUUAUUGGGCGUAAAGGGCUCGUAGGUGGUUGAUCGCGUCGGAAGUGUAAUCUUGGGGCUUAACCCUGAGCGUGCUUUCGAUACGGGUUGACUUGAGGAAGGUAGGGGAGAAUGGAAUUCCUGGUGGAGCGGUGGAAUGCGCAGAUAUCAGGAGGAACACCAGUGGCGAAGGCGGUUCUCUGGGCCUUUCCUGACGCUGAGGAGCGAAAGCGUGGGGAGCGAACAGGCUUAGAUACCCUGGUAGUCCACGCUGUAAACGGUGGGUACUAGGUGUGGGGUCCAUUCCACGGGUUCCGUGCCGUAGCUAACGCUUUAAGUACCCCGCCUGGGGAGUACGGCCGCAAGGCUAAAACUCAAAGGAAUUGACGGGGCCCCGCACAAGCGGCGGAGCAUGCGGAUUAAUUCGAUGCAACGCGUAGAACCUUACCUGGGUUUGACAUGGAUCGGGAGUGCUCAGAGAUGGGUGUGCCUCUUUUGGGGUCGGUUCACAGGUGGUGCAUGCCUGUCGUCAGCUCGUGUCGUGAGAUGUUGGGUUAAGUCCCGCAACGAGCGCAACCCUUGUUCACUGUUGCCAGCACGUUAUGGUGGGGACUCAGUGGAGACCGCCGGGGUCAACUCGGAGGAAGGUGGGGAUGACGUCAAGUCAUCAUGCCCCUUAUGUCCAGGGCUUCACGCAUGCUACAAUGGCUGGUACAGAGAGUGGCGAGCCUGUGAGGGUGAGCGAAUCUCGGAAAGCCGGUCUCAGUUCGGAUUGGGGUCUGCAACUCGACCUCAUGAAGUCGGAGUCGCUAGUAAUCGCAGAACAGCAACGCUGCGGUGAAUACGUUCCCGGGGCU